This 500-nucleotide ribosomal RNA is filed under the name uncultured bacterium. Its description in RNAcentral is "partial 16S ribosomal RNA". It matches the Rfam family "Bacterial small subunit ribosomal RNA", at positions 30 to 523 of the family's 1533-position model. The record is from RNAcentral.
AUUGAACGCUGGCGGAAUGCUUUACACAUGCAAGUCGAACGGCAGCACGGACUUCGGUCUGGUGGCGAGUGGCGAACGGGUGAGUAAUGUAUCGGAACGUGCCCAGUCGUGGGGGAUAACGUAGUGAAAAUUACGCUAAUACCGCAUACGAUCUAUGGAUGAAAGCGGGGGAUCGCAAGACCUCGCGCGAUUGGAGCGGCCGAUAUCAGACUAGGUAGUUGGUGGGGUAAAGGCCCACCAAGCCAACGAUCUGUAGCUGGUCUGAGAGGAGGACCAGCCACACUGGAACUGAGACACCGUCCAGACUCCUACAGGAGGCAGCAGUGGGGAAUUUUGGACAAUGGGCGAAAGCCUGAUCCAGCCAUUCCGCGUGCAGGAUGAAGGCCCUCGGGUUGUAAACUGCUUUUGUACAGAACGAAAAGGUUUCUACUAAUACUAGGAGCUCAUGACGGUACUGUAAGAAUAAGCACCGGCUAACUACGUGCCAGCAGCCGCGGUAA